RNAcentral lists this ribosomal RNA (497 nucleotides) under uncultured bacterium. RNAcentral's name for it is "partial 16S ribosomal RNA". It matches the Rfam family "Bacterial small subunit ribosomal RNA", at positions 28 to 507 of the family's 1533-position model. The record is from RNAcentral.
GAUGAACGCUGGCGGCGUGCCUAAUACAUGCAAGUCGAGCGAACGGACGAGAAGCUUGCUUCUCUGAUGUUAGCGGCGGACGGGUGAGUAACACGUGGAUAACCUACCUAUAAGACUGGGAUAACUUCGGGAAACCGGAGCUAAUACCGGAUGAUAUUUUGAACCGCAUGGUUCAAAAGUGAAAGACGGUCUUGCUGUCACUUAUAGAUGGAUCCGCGCUGCAUUAGCUAGUUGGUAAGGUAACGGCUUACCAAGGCAACGAUGCAUAGCCGACCUGAGAGGGUGAUCGCCCACACUGGAGCUGAGACACGGUCCAGACUCCUACGGGAGGCAGCAGUAGGGAAUCUUCCGCAGUGGGCGAAAGCCUGACGGAGCAACGCCGCGUGAGUGAUGAAGGUCUUCGGAUCGUAAAACUCUGUUAUUGGUGAAGAACAUAUGUGUAAGUAACUGUGCACAUCUUGACGUUACCUAAUCAGAAAGCCACGGCUAACUACGUG